UCAUGCCUACGGGACGCAGCAGUGGGGAAUAUUGCACAAUGGGGGGAACCCUGAUGCAGCGACGCCGCGUGGGCGAGGAAGUAUUUCGGUAUGUAAAGCCCUAUCGGCAGGGAAGAAGAAAUGACGGUACCUGAAUAAGAAGCACCGGCUAAAUACGUACCAGCAGCCGCGGUAAUACGUAUGGUGCAAGCGUUAUCCGGAUUUACUGGGCGUAAAGGGAGCGCAGGCGGCGCGCCAAGUCUGAUGUGAAACCCCGGGGCUCAACCCCGGGCAUGGAUUGGAAACUGGCGGGCUGGAGGGCCGGG
Molecule: ribosomal RNA, 305 nt
Filed under: uncultured bacterium
Lineage: Bacteria
Description: bacterial SSU rRNA
Rfam family: Bacterial small subunit ribosomal RNA
Source: RNAcentral